UGCUUCCUUUUUUGUUGUUGUUUUGUUUGC
RNAcentral lists this non-coding RNA (30 nucleotides) under Mus musculus (house mouse). Lineage: Eukaryota; Metazoa; Chordata; Mammalia; Rodentia; Muridae. The record is from RNAcentral. RNAcentral also lists the same sequence under 1 other name.